CCUACGGGUGGCAGCAGUGAGGAAUAUUGGUCAAUGGACGAGAGUCUGAACCAGCCAAGUCGCGUGAAGGAUGACUGCCCUAUGGGUUGUAAACCUCUUUUAUAUGGGAAUAAAACGUUCCACGUGUGGGCUUUUGUAUGUACCAUAUGAAUAAGCAUCGGCUAACUCCGUGCCAGCAGCCGCGGUAAUACGGAGGAUCCGAGCGUUAUCCGGAUUUAUUGGGUUUAAAGGGUGCGCAGGUGGGUUGUUAAGUCAGUGGUGAAAGUUUGCGGCUCAACCGUAAGAUUGCAGUUGAAACUGGCAGUCUUGAGUACGGUAGAGGUGGGCGGAAUGCGUGGUGUAGCGGUGAAAUGCUUAGAUAUCGCGAAGAACUCCGAUUGCGAAGGCAGCUCGCUGGACUGCAACUGACGCUGAGGAUCGAAAGUGUGGGUAUCGAACAGGAUUAGAUACCCUUGUAGUC
Molecule: ribosomal RNA, 460 nt
Filed under: uncultured bacterium
Lineage: Bacteria
Description: partial 16S ribosomal RNA
Rfam family: Bacterial small subunit ribosomal RNA
Source: RNAcentral